RNAcentral lists this ribosomal RNA (406 nucleotides) under Acinetobacter sp. BDP-96-2_2-4. RNAcentral's name for it is "bacterial SSU rRNA". It matches the Rfam family "Bacterial small subunit ribosomal RNA", at positions 538 to 943 of the family's 1533-position model. Lineage: Bacteria; Pseudomonadati; Pseudomonadota; Gammaproteobacteria; Moraxellales; Moraxellaceae. The record is from RNAcentral.
GCGUUAAUCGGAUUUACUGGGCGUAAAGCGCGCGUAGGUGGCUAAUUAAGUCAAAUGUGAAAUCCCCGAGCUUAACUUGGGAAUUGCAUUCGAUACUGGUUAGCUAGAGUAUGGGAGAGGAUGGUAGAAUUCCAGGUGUAGCGGUGAAAUGCGUAGAGAUCUGGAGGAAUACCGAUGGCGAAGGCAGCCAUCUGGCCUAAUACUGACACUGAGGUGCGAAAGCAUGGGGAGCAAACAGKAUUAGAUACCCUGGUAGUCCAUGCCGUAAACGAUGUCUACUAGCCGUUGGGGCCCUUNAGGCUUUAGUGGCGCAGCUAACGCGAUAAGYAGAYCGCCUGGGGAGUACGGUCGCAAGACUAAAACUCAAAUGAAUUGACGNNNGCCCGCACAAGCGGUGGAGCAUGUG